This 31-nucleotide non-coding RNA is filed under the name Mus musculus (house mouse). The record is from RNAcentral. Lineage: Eukaryota; Metazoa; Chordata; Mammalia; Rodentia; Muridae.
GGGGAAUGAAUAUAAUAACACUAUUUUGUAU